AUGCAUUUCAUUAUUCUCUU
Molecule: small nuclear RNA, 20 nt
Filed under: Arabidopsis thaliana (thale cress)
Lineage: Eukaryota; Viridiplantae; Streptophyta; Magnoliopsida; Brassicales; Brassicaceae
Description: snRNA_09740
Source: RNAcentral